AAACCAACAGGGAUUGCCUCAGUAACGGCGAGCGAAGCGGCAAAAGCUCAAAUUUGAAAUCUGGCGUCUUUCUUAGGCGUCCGAGUUGUAAUUUGAAGAUGGCAACUUUGGGAUUGGCUCUCGCAUAUGUUCCUUGGAACAGGACGUCAUAGAGGGUGAGAACCCCGUUCAUGGCGAGGUGACCCAAUCCUUUGUAAAGUGCUUUCUAAGAGUCGAGUUGUUUGGGAAUGCAGCUCUAAGUGGGUGGUAAAUUCCAUCUAAGGCUAAAUAUUGGCGAGAGACCGAUAGCGAACAAGUACAGUGAUGGAAAGAUGAAAAGAACUUUGAAAAGAGAGUGAAAAAGUACGUGAAAUUGUUGAAAGGGAAGGGCUUGAAAUCAGACUUGGUAUUCAGUGAUCAACUGUCUUUCGGGACUGUGCACUCGCUGUUUACUGGGCCAACAUCGGUUUAGAGGGUGAGAUAAAAGCUAGAGAAUGUGGCACUGCUUCGGUAGUGUGUUAUAGCUCUGGUCAAUAUCACCACUCUGGACCGAGGACUGCGCUUUAUGCUAGGAUGUUGGCGUAAUGAUUUUAAGCCAC
This 578-nucleotide ribosomal RNA is filed under the name Blastobotrys sp. NCAIM Y.01959. Its description in RNAcentral is "eukaryotic LSU rRNA". It matches the Rfam family "Eukaryotic large subunit ribosomal RNA", at positions 62 to 648 of the family's 3401-position model. Lineage: Eukaryota; Fungi; Ascomycota; Dipodascomycetes; Dipodascales; Trichomonascaceae. The record is from RNAcentral.